GGGAAUAUUGGACAAUGGGCGCAAGCCUGAUCCAGCAAUGCCGCGUGGGUGAAGAAGGUUUUCGGAUUGUAAAGCCCUUUUGGCAGGGACGAUGAUGACGGUACCUGCAGAAUAAGCCCCGGCUAACUUCGUGCCAGCAGCCGCGGUAAUACGAAGGGGGCUAGCGUUGCUCGGAAUGACUGGGCGUAAAGGGCGCGUAGGCGGCGGCCAAAGUCAGGCGUGAAAUUCCUGGGCUCAACCUGGGGGCUGCGCUUGAUACUUGGUUGCUUGAGUGGGGAAGAGGGUCGUGGAAUUCCCAGUGUAGAGGUGAAAUUCGUAGAUAUUGGGAAGAACACCGGUGGCGAAGGCGGCGACCUGGUCCUUUACUGACGCUGAGGCGCGAAAGCGUGGGGAGCAAACA
RNAcentral lists this ribosomal RNA (400 nucleotides) under uncultured bacterium. RNAcentral's name for it is "bacterial SSU rRNA". It matches the Rfam family "Bacterial small subunit ribosomal RNA", at positions 357 to 774 of the family's 1533-position model. The record is from RNAcentral.